GCACUACCGAGGAGCCCCAUAAUAGGGCGAAACGGCCGUUCAGUGC
RNAcentral lists this non-coding RNA (46 nucleotides) under Schistosoma curassoni. The record is from RNAcentral. Lineage: Eukaryota; Metazoa; Platyhelminthes; Trematoda; Strigeidida; Schistosomatidae.